CGAAAGCCAGGGGAGCGAAAGGGAUUAGAUACCCCUGUAGUCCUGGCCGUAAACGAUGAACACUAGGUGUCGGGGGAAUCGACCCCUCCGGUGUCGUAGCCAACGCGUUAAGUGUUCCGCCUGGGGAGUACGCACGCAAGUGUGAAACUCAAAGGAAUUGACGGGGGCCCGCACAAGCGGUGGAGUAUGUGGUUUAAUUCGAUGCAACGCGAAGAACCUUACCAGGGUUUGACAUCCUGCGAAUCCCUUGGAAACGAGGGAGUGCCUUCGGGAGCGCAGAGACAGGUGGUGCAUGGCUGUCGUCAGCUCGUGUCGUGAGAUGUUGGGUUAAGUCCCGCAACGAGCGCAACCCACGUCGUUAGUUGCCAGCAUUCAGUUGGGCACUCUAGCGAGACCGCCGGUGAUAAACCGGAGGAAGGUGUGGAUGACGUCAAGUCAUCAUGCCCCUUACAUCCUGGGCUACACACGUACUACAAUGCUACGGACAAAGGGCAGCAAGCUCGCGAGAGUUAGCAAAUCCCAUAAACCGUGGCUCAGUUCAGAUCGUAGGCUGCAACUCGCCUACGUGAAGGAGGAAUCGCUAGUAAUCGCAGGUCAGCAUACUGCGGUGAAUACGUUCCCGGGCCUUGUACACACCGCCCGUCACACCAUGGAAGUUGGCCACGCCCGAAGUCGUUACUCCAACCCUUGUGGAGGAGGACGCCGAAGGUGGGGCUGAUGACUGGGGUGAA
RNAcentral lists this ribosomal RNA (731 nucleotides) under Merismopedia sp. NIES-4384. RNAcentral describes it as "bacterial SSU rRNA". It matches the Rfam family "Bacterial small subunit ribosomal RNA", at positions 754 to 1484 of the family's 1533-position model. Lineage: Bacteria; Bacillati; Cyanobacteriota; Cyanophyceae; Synechococcales; Merismopediaceae. The record is from RNAcentral.